AUGUGAGAAACCACAGCCAAGCAUUUCAAAAGGAGUUCCAGCCUGUCCAUUGACUCCACAUGCUUAUGGAUUUCGAAAUCCCCUUUGUAUCAGCCUUAUCUCUUCAUAUAUAACUUGUAUCUGAGACAUUAAAUCAAUUAAUGGAGUUUUGAGUCUCUAUCUUAUCAUUUAUUCUCUAUAAUCUCUUAAUCUCUUUAAUCUUACACAAAUCAGCCAGAUUCAUUCUUAAACACACUUUAAAACACAAAAGUGUUUAUGGUAUCAGAGCCAGGUUCCUAAAAGGGUGGGAGUGUGUUGUUCUUGCUUUGAAAAAUCUGGGUUUGUGUUCUUGGGCUGUUCUUGGUGUUCUUGAGUGUUCUUUGUGUUUUUGAGCUCUAUUCUUCAUUCUCUGGGAUUGUUUGAGUUUAUCUGAUGGAAACAAACGACCUCAGUAUGGAUAUGAAGCAUGGAUCUAGUAAACCAGUGAAGAUUCAAGGAGAAAAUGAUGGGUUUUGGUCCAGAUGGGUGAAGACAGCUGUGGGGAGCUGUGUGUUGUGGUGUAGUCAUGUAAAGGGGAAGCCUUUAAGUGA
This 569-nucleotide long non-coding RNA is filed under the name Brassica napus (rape). Its description in RNAcentral is "long non-coding RNA (BNAP_LNC013683)". Lineage: Eukaryota; Viridiplantae; Streptophyta; Magnoliopsida; Brassicales; Brassicaceae. The record is from RNAcentral.